Long non-coding RNA from Mauremys reevesii (Reeves's turtle), 277 nucleotides. RefSeq lists it as uncharacterized. NCBI's taxonomy places the organism in Eukaryota, Metazoa, Chordata, Testudines, Geoemydidae. The transcript has 3 exons. The record is from RefSeq and is a predicted model, not a curated record.
GUCCAGCUGAGGAUAUAGGCUAGUGCUCAGAUGCCACUUUCACUCAAGCUGGUACCCACAAAGGCAAACAAGUUCUCCCACAACUCACUAGGAAAGAGUCAGUGGCUCAGCUUACUGUGCUAUAAGAAACAAUGGGAAAUACCCCUUGAAGUCUUAGCAACACAGAUCCACAGCUUUCAUGGGUCACAUUUUUGAAGAUUGUCUUAACAACAAAAUAUAAACUUAUGCAACAUUGUCUUCCUGAGUCUGCAGACAGACCGGAUCCAUGACUGAGAGG